Molecule: ribosomal RNA, 477 nt
Filed under: uncultured Candidatus Scalindua sp.
Lineage: Bacteria; Pseudomonadati; Planctomycetota; Candidatus Brocadiia; Candidatus Brocadiales; Candidatus Scalinduaceae
Description: bacterial SSU rRNA
Rfam family: Bacterial small subunit ribosomal RNA
Source: RNAcentral
UUCGCAAUGCCCGAAAGGGUGACGAAGCGACGCCGCGUGGAUGAAGAAGGCCUUCGGGUUGUAAAAUCCUGUCAGGAGUUAAGAAAUAUAAGUUUGAUAAUACCAAAUUUAUUUGACAAAGGCUCCAGAGGAAGCCACGGCUAACUCUGUGCCAGCAGCCGCGGUAAUACAGAGGUGGCAAGCGUUGUUCGGAAUUAUUGGGCGUAAAGAGCACGUAGGUGGAUUUGUUAGUCAGAUGUGAAAGCCUUUCGUUCAACGGAGGAAUUGCAUCUGAAACUACAAACCUUGAGUAUAGGAGGGGAGAGUGGAACUUCUGGUGGAGCGGUGAAAUGCGUAGAUAUCAGAAGGAACGCCGGCGGCGAAAGCGACUCUCUGGCCUAUAACUGACACUGAGUGUGCGAAAGCUAGGGGAGCAAACGGGAUUAGAUACCCCGGUAGUCCUAGCCGUAAACGAUGGGCACUAAGUAGAGGGGUUUU